AGUCACUGACAUUAGAUACCCGCGUAGUCCCAGCCCUAAACGAUGCGCGUUAGGUGUAUCGGUGACCACGAGUCACCGAGGUGCCGAAGGGAAACCGUGAAACGUGCCGCCUGGGAAGUACGGUCGCAAGGCUGAAACUUAAAGGAAUUGGCGGGGGAGCACCACAACGGGUGGAGCUUGCGGUUUAAUUGGAUUCAACGCCGGAAAUCUUACCGGGACCGACAGCAACAUGAAGGCCAGGCUGAAGACUUUGCCGGAUUAGCUG
This 265-nucleotide ribosomal RNA is filed under the name uncultured archaeon. Its description in RNAcentral is "partial 16S ribosomal RNA". It matches the Rfam family "Archaeal small subunit ribosomal RNA", at positions 716 to 982 of the family's 1478-position model. The record is from RNAcentral.